RNAcentral lists this ribosomal RNA (301 nucleotides) under uncultured bacterium. RNAcentral describes it as "partial 16S ribosomal RNA". It matches the Rfam family "Bacterial small subunit ribosomal RNA", at positions 509 to 807 of the family's 1533-position model. The record is from RNAcentral.
CAGUCGCCGCGGUAAUACGUAGGUGGCAAGCGUUGUCCGGAAUUAUUGGGCGUAAAGUGCGCGCAGGUGGUUUAAUAAGUCUGAUGUGAAAGCCCACGGCUCAACCGUGGAGGGUCAUUGGAAACUGUUAAACUUGAGUGCAGGAGAGAAAAGUGGAAUUCCUAGUGUAGCGGUGAAAUGCGUAGAGAUUAGGAGGAACACCAGUGGCGAAGGCGGCUUUUUGGCCUGUAACUGACACUGAGGCGCGAAAGCGUGGGGAGCAAACAGGAUUAGAUACCCCUGUAGUCCCUGUCUCUUAUAC